RNAcentral lists this ribosomal RNA (641 nucleotides) under uncultured bacterium. Its description in RNAcentral is "bacterial SSU rRNA". It matches the Rfam family "Bacterial small subunit ribosomal RNA", at positions 97 to 749 of the family's 1533-position model. The record is from RNAcentral.
GGCGAACGGGUGAGUAACACGUGGGCAACCUGCCCCCGGCUCUGGGAUAACUCCAAGAAAUUGGGGCUAAUACCGGAUGUGACCGCUGGCCGCAUGGUCUGGUGGUGGAAAGGGUUUCCGGCUGGGGAUGGGCCCGCGGCCUAUCAGCUUGUUGGUGGGGUAGUGGCCUACCAAGGCGACGACGGGUAGCCGGCCUGAGAGGGUGACCGGCCACACUGGGACUGAGACACGGCCCAGACUCCUACGGGAGGCAGCAGUGGGGAAUAUUGCGCAAUGGGCGGAAGCCUGACGCAGCGACGCCGCGUGGGGGAUGACGGCCUUCGGGUUGUAAACCUCUUUCAGCAGGGACGAAGCCUCACGGUGACGGUACCUGCAGAAGAAGCACCGGCCAACUACGUGCCAGCAGCCGCGGUAAUACGUAGGGUGCAAGCGUUGUCCGGAAUUAUUGGGCGUAAAGAGCUCGUAGGCGGUUGGUCGCGUCGGCUGUGAAAACCCGGAGCUCAACUCCGGGCCUGCAGUCGAUACGGGCCGACUUGAGUGUUGCAGGGGAGACUGGAAUUCCUGGUGCAGCGGUGAAAUGCGCAGAUAUCAGGAGGAACACCGGUGGCGAAGGCGGGUCUCUGGGCAACAACUGACGCUGA